UGGGGGUGUAUUGAGUGGUAGAGCACUUGCCUAGCAUAGCAAGUGCAAGGCCCUAGACUCAACACCCAGUACUUGAAAAAAGAAAAGAACCUUGGUAUAUUACUACUAGCUAAACUUCAGACUAUUUGGAUCACCAAUUUUCAUUUAAUGUCUUCUUUCUGUUCUAGAUCCAUUUCAAGGUGUACUACAUUGCAUUUGGUUAUCAUGUGUCCCUAGUCUUUCUGGUCUGUGAUUUUCAGUUUUGUUUUUUGUGAACUUGGUAGGCAUGAGUAGUACUGGUCAGAUGCCCUGAAGAAUAUUCUCCAAACUGGGUUUGUCAUAUGUUUUUUAUGAUUUAGAAUGAGUAUGUGGGUUUUCAGUAAGAAAAUAUCACAGAGGUGAACUGUACUUCUCAUCACAUAUCAGAGGCUGUGUGAUACCUACAGAUAUCACUGCUGAUGUUAAACUUCAUCACUUAGUUAAUGUGGUAGUUGCUAGGUUUCUCUACUGUAAAGUUGUUCUUUUUCCUUUCCUUAGUUCAUCCUUUAGGAAGUAAGUUAGGUUACAACUUCUGGAUGGGGGGGGUAUAUAUUACUUAGUAAGGCAGAUCUUUCUGUCUCCUCUCCCCUUAUUAAAACAAGCUCCUUACCCCCACCUGCCCUGGCCUGGUAGUGGGGAUUGAAUCCAGGGAAGUGCUACCACUGAGCUUUUUUUUUUGGGGGGGGGUGGCAACAGGGUCUUGCAAAGUUGCCCAGGCUGGCCUGGACCUUGCAAUCCUUGUGCCUUGUAUCUCCUGAGUUGGGAUUACAGGCAUGUACCACCUUGACUAGCUUUCAUUUUAUAUUUUGAGACAGGGUUUCCC
This 841-nucleotide long non-coding RNA is filed under the name Marmota monax (woodchuck). The record is from RNAcentral. Lineage: Eukaryota; Metazoa; Chordata; Mammalia; Rodentia; Sciuridae.